Molecule: ribosomal RNA, 630 nt
Filed under: Salmonella enterica subsp. enterica serovar Heidelberg
Lineage: Bacteria; Pseudomonadati; Pseudomonadota; Gammaproteobacteria; Enterobacterales; Enterobacteriaceae
Also listed under: 2 other names
Description: partial 23S ribosomal RNA
Rfam family: Bacterial large subunit ribosomal RNA
Source: RNAcentral
GUCUGCAUGGAGCCGACCUUGAAAUACCACCCUUUAAUGUUUGAUGUUCUAACGUGGACCCGUUACCCGGGUUGCGGACAGUGUCUGGUGGGUAGUUUGACUGGGGCGGUCUCCUCCUAAAGAGUAACGGAGGAGCACGAAGGUUGGCUAAUCCUGGUCGGACAUCAGGAGGUUAGUGCAAUGGCAUAAGCCAGCUUGACUGCGAGCGUGACGGCGCGAGCAGGUGCGAAAGCAGGUCAUAGUGAUCCGGUGGUUCUGAAUGGAAGGGCCAUCGCUCAACGGAUAAAAGGUACUCCGGGGAUAACAGGCUGAUACCGCCCAAGAGUUCAUAUCGACGGCGGUGUUUGGCACCUCGAUGUCGGCUCAUCACAUCCUGGGGCUGAAGUAGGUCCCAAGGGUAUGGCUGUUCGCCAUUUAAAGUGGUACGCGAGCUGGGUUUAGAACGUCGUGAGACAGUUCGGUCCCUAUCUGCCGUGGGCGCUGGAGAACUGAGGGGGGCUGCUCCUAGUACGAGAGGACCGGAGUGGACGCAUCACUGGUGUUCGGGUUGUCAUGCCAAUGGCACUGCCCGGUAGCUAAAUGCGGAAGAGAUAAGUGCUGAAAGCAUCUAAGCACGAAACUUGCCCCGAG